This 406-nucleotide unclassified non-coding RNA is filed under the name uncultured Laccaria. RNAcentral's name for it is "partial contains 18S rRNA, ITS1, 5.8S rRNA, ITS2 and 28S rRNA". The stretch from base 190 to 343 matches the Rfam family "5.8S ribosomal RNA". The record is from RNAcentral. Lineage: Eukaryota; Fungi; Basidiomycota; Agaricomycetes; Agaricales; Tricholomataceae.
GAGUAAACCUGAUGUGGCUGUUAGCUGGCUUAGGCAUGUGCUCGUCCAUCAUCUUUAUUUCUCCACCUGUGCACAUUUUGUAGACUUGGAUAAUGGCUCUGUCAUUUACAAGACUAUGUUUUCAAUAUACCCAAAGCAUGUUUAAAGAAUGUCAUCAAUAGGAACUUGGUUUCCUAUUAGAAACUAUACAACUUUCAGCAACGGAUCUCUUGGCUCUCGCAUCGAUGAAGAACGCAGCGAAAUGCGUUAAGUAAUGUGAAUUGCAGAAUUCAGUGAAUCAUCGAAUCUUUGAACGCACCUUGCGCUCCUUGGUAUUCCGAGGAGCAUGCCUGUUUGAGUGUCAUUAAAUUCUCAACCUUUCCAUUAAUUUGGUUUGGCUUGGAUGUGGGGGUUGCAGGCUUCAUUU